CCUCCUUACCAAAAUGUCGAUGGUGACAUUGUUAGUGUAGUGCCUACACAAAUUGUCUUGUUUAAAAGUUUAAAGAUGUGCCUUAGAGCGCUUAAUUUUGAUUGCAAAAUCAAACUUAAGUGCUUUCUUUGAAAGCAUUAUGUUCUUUAACGAUUUGGAAAGCUGAUAUUUAAUUAGUAAAUCAAUCAAAAUUUGAGUAAUUGAGAAGUCGAAAGACGUACUUACUACUCUACUUGACUUGAAUUGCUUGUUAUCAAUCUUUAUUUGAUAGCAAGGCAAUUUCACGAUUAGCCUGUCAUGCAUACAACUGAGUUAGAUCUCAUCUAAGUCCUGAAUUCAAAAGGCGGGAGAGCUCUUCGUUCAAUCAUUGUUUUAAUAUUCUUAUUUAUAAGGUUAUUANUGCAAUGGUCGAGGUAACAGUUUCUAGUCGACUAAAUCGACGAGUAAGCGAAGGCACACACUUUUAGUAUGUAACUGAGCGAACGAGGAAAAUUUAGGAAGAAUAGGAAGUGUUUAACGAAGGCCAUUUGGGGUUGUAUGGUUAAGUGACUAACCGUAUACGGUGGAUGC
Molecule: unclassified non-coding RNA, 570 nt
Filed under: uncultured Alteromonadaceae bacterium
Lineage: Bacteria; Pseudomonadati; Pseudomonadota; Gammaproteobacteria; Alteromonadales; Alteromonadaceae
Description: partial 16S-23S ribosomal RNA intergenic spacer
Source: RNAcentral